RNAcentral lists this long non-coding RNA (2152 nucleotides) under Mus musculus (house mouse). RNAcentral's name for it is "long non-coding RNA chr17:57097553-57099705". The record is from RNAcentral. Lineage: Eukaryota; Metazoa; Chordata; Mammalia; Rodentia; Muridae.
GUAGUGCCUAUUGCUGCCAGAAGAGGUGUCACAUCCCCUUGGAUCUGGAAUUACAGGAGGUUGUGAGCCACCAUGUGAGGGUUGGGGACUUAACUCUGGUUAUCUGAAAGAGCAGAGUAGGAGUACUCUUACCUCAACCCUUUCCAUACCUCUUUUAUUUCCCUUUCUCCUCUCUUUCUGUCCUCACGAGACAGGGUCUAUCUCUGUAGCCAAGGCUAGCCUGAAACUAUACAUAGGCUGGCCUCAGACUUGUGUAAUGUCCUACCUUAGCAUCCCAAAUGCUCAGGUGACAGAUAUGAACCACCACACCUUGGCUGUUCAGUGUGUUUGACAAUGAUCUCUCUCUCUCUCUCUCUCUCUCUCUCUCUCUCUCUCUCUCUCUCUCUCUCUCUCUCUCUCUCUCCCCCUGCCCAGGGGGCUAUGGUGUAUUUGUGGUUGCUGUGUCUGUUCUAUGUCCUGGCUGUGGGUGUCUUUGUGUUUCUGUCUAAUUGUGGCUGUCUAAUGGCUACUUCCCCUGGCAGCACUGGGGAAUCCCUUACAGAUGAUAGUCAGGCUGGGAUUCCCUUUCUACUCAGCUUGGUUGAUUUCCCAUCACUGAGUUAGCUCUUAUCAACCUCUGAGGGGUCCCCAGCCUGCUCAGCCACUCCCCCAUCUUUCUCAGGGAAGAACUUAUUGUUGAUGUUAAAUUUUUCCUUCUUCCAGAAAGCUAUGGUCACCUUUUCUUUCUUUCUGGGUGCUUAGUUGACUACAGGUUGUUCAUGGCUAAAAGGAAGGAGGAGGAAGAUAGAAGGAGAAAAGGAGGAAGAGGAAGAGGAGGAGGAGGCAGAGGAAGAAGAGGAACCCAAACAAAACUUUGUACACAUGGAAAUGCAGGCUAGAGCCAUACCACAGACUCCAGUGUGGACAAACCUCCGGAAGCAAUUGUAAUGCUGACUCUUUGCUCAAACUGGAAGAUCCUGUCCCCGUGGUUCAAAGGCAUGAGCUGUCUUUGCUGUUGUGUGACUGGUGAUGUCAUCAAUGGUAAUCUGAACGAUUCCCUUUUGAAGACUGGAGAGAUCAUUUCCGUUCUCUGCACUUUUUGCUGUUAUGGGCUUUGCUGUUGGUCAAAGGGUCUCACAUAGACCAGGUUGGCCUCCAACUAGACUUUUAACCGAGGCUGAUCUUGAACUCCUUCCUGAUCCUCCUAACUCUGCCUCCAGAGUUCUGGCUCUGUGUAGAUCCUUUCAAACAUCCUCACGGGUCAACCCAGAGGCAGGAUUUGUGUACUGGAUUUCAGUGUUUCAAAGUCCACAUGUAGUCACUGACACAUGCUAGGCUGUGUAGGCUGCCAGUGGCAAGGAUGGCUGAACUUACUGAGUGACUGCUGUAUGUCACAACAUCCUGGCUCCCUCACUGUGGACACCUUGAAUUUUGAGGUAGUAUUUUUUUUUUUUUUUCGAGACAAGGUUUCUCUGUAUAGCCCUGGCUGUCCUGGAACUCACUUUGUAGAUCAGGCUGGCCUCGAACUCAGAAAUCCGCCUGCCUCUGCCUCCCAAGUGCUGGGAUUAAGUAUUUUUUUUUAAAGAUUUAUUUUAUUUAUAUGAGUAUACUGUAACUGCCUUCAGACACACCAGAAGAGGGCAUCAGAUCCCAUUACCCCAUUACAGAUGGUUGUGAGCCACCAUGUGGUUGCUGGAAAUUGAACUCAGGACAUCUGGAAGAGCAGUCAGUGCUCUUAACCGCUGAACCAUCUCUCCAGCCUAAGAUAGUAUUGUUUUAAUUUCAUUUCACAGAUGGGGAAAUUGAGGCACCAAGAGGUAAAGGAAUUCCCUCAGGAGGUGGGGCUGGGAUUUGAACCUAUGCUGUGUAGUUUCCAUGUGCCCACCAGGGGAGAGUCAGGGAAGUUGACUUUUAAGCCUGGCUUCUGGUAUGUGUAUGUAAGCUCAGUACAUUGGAGUCUGAGGCUGCCCUGGGCUGAUAGCAAUAUCCUCACUCAAGACAGGAAAGCAGUUGACACUCCUGGCUAUGCUGGUGGCCAGUACCUGUCAUCCUAGACAUUUGGAACACUGAGGCAGGAGGUGGGCAUGAACCUAGGACUUGGAGGUCAGCCUGGGAAACUUACAUAGACUCUACAUCAAAAAAUAAGGCAAAACAAAAAUAAAAAGUUAAUACU